This 545-nucleotide ribosomal RNA is filed under the name Tephritis nozarii. RNAcentral's name for it is "partial large subunit ribosomal RNA". The stretch from base 398 to 545 matches the Rfam family "Bacterial large subunit ribosomal RNA", at positions 2473 to 2620 of the family's 2925-position model. Lineage: Eukaryota; Metazoa; Arthropoda; Insecta; Diptera; Tephritidae. The record is from RNAcentral.
CAAAAACAUGUUUUUUUGAGUUAUUUUUAAAGUUUAACCUGCCCAAUGAAAAAUUUUUAAUGGCCGCAGUAAUUUGACUGUGCAAAGGUAGCAUAAUAAUUAGUCUUUUAAUUGAAGGCUUGUAUGAAUGGUUGGACGAAGUAUAAUCUGUUUCAUUUAAAUUUAUUAUAGAAUUUUAUAUUUUAGUAAAAAAGCUAAAAUUUUUUUAAAAGACGAGAAGACCCUAUAAAUCUUUAUAAUUUGAUAUUUAUUUUUUUUUUUGAUUAAUUUUAAUUUUAAUAAUUUAAAUUAUUUUAUUGGGGUGAUAUUAAAAUUUAAACAACUUUUAAUUUUUUUUUACAUUAAUUUAUGAUUUAUUGAUCCAUUAAUAAUGAUUAUAAGAAUAAGUUACUUUAGGGAUAACAGCGUAAUUUUUUUGGAGAGUUCUUAUUGAUAAAAAAGUUUGCGACCUCGAUGUUGGAUUAAGAUAUAAUUUUAGGUGUAGUUGCUUAAAUAAUAAGUCUGUUCGACUUUUAAAUUCUUACAUGAUCUGANUUCAAACCGGA